Long non-coding RNA from Pseudophryne corroboree (corroboree frog), 909 nucleotides. RefSeq lists it as uncharacterized. The record is from RefSeq and is a predicted model, not a curated record. The transcript is spliced from 3 exons. Lineage: Eukaryota; Metazoa; Chordata; Amphibia; Anura; Myobatrachidae.
UCCGGAAGAUGGAAGGAGGCCCGCAUCAGAGACCCCACCAGCGGAGAGAACGGACCGGCAGCCACACAGAGAGCCCUCUCCAGCCGACACACUCACCCCUCGGCGGCUGGCGUAGAGCGCGGACUGCAGUCAGUGACAGUGAGUCACUGUCACUCCUGCUGCAGAAUCCGCGCUGUGGAUAUUACAGGCUCCUCUGAUGGGAGCUUUCACGGACACCGCCUGUCAGACUCCGGCAGCUCUGAACACACACAGCAGCUCUCCCCCAUGCUGGGAACAGGGGGAGGGACACAAGGCACAGUGCAGUAGCGUCUGAAGGAGGGUGAGCUGGCCUGUGAUGAUUGAGAAGAGAAAUGAACCCGGUGGGCCACUGAACCGACUCAGCCGUUAUUGGUAGUGUGAUUGAACUCUUCUUGUCACCAUGCCGCAUCAGAUGACAGCACUGGCAAUGAUGCAACUGUAAAAGACAGGCACCAUGAAUGUCAUUGCAGAGCAGUCCAUGGAGCGUCUAAUCUCAUGAGAGACAGAGUUUCCCACCAGACCCAGAUGGAGAACUGCGCCAAAGUCGGUGAAACCACUGCAUUGUACCAGAUCCUGCAGCAAAGGAAGUAUCCACAGCCAGCAGCAAUAGCAGUAGUAAAGAAUGAGUGACUUAUUAUAAAACGCCAGCCAGCCUGUAACUGUGCACCAAAACAAAGGAGGCGGUCUAGAACGAGGUUCCUCCCUUCCUCUCAUCUCCUCCUCCGACUGCUGUUGCUGCGGAAUAUUCGUCUGAAACGUCGGUAUAACAUCACAAUCCUGUGACUGUCCAAAGCUCGAAAAGGAGAGAAGACACCCAACCCCUACCAGCCCUGCCACGCAAUGGCAUCCUCACUGCAUGGGCACUAUACUGCAAUAAAAAUAAGUAUGUUA